GACGAACGCUGGCGGCGUGCUUAACACAUGCAAGUCGAACGAAGAGCGAUGGAAGCUUGCUUCUAUCAAUUUUAGUGGCGCACGGGUGAGUAACGCGUAAUCAACCUGCCCUUCAGAGGGGGACAACAGUUGGAAACGACUGCUAAUACCGCAUACGAUCUAAUCUCGGCAUCGAGGAUAGAUGAAAGGUGGCCUCUACAUGUAAGCUAUCACUGAAGGUGGGUAUUGCGUCUGAUUAGCUAGCUGGGGGGGUAACGGCCCACCAAGGCGAUGAUCAGUAGCCGGGCUGGAGAGAUGAACGGCCAAAAUGGGACUGGAACACGGCCCAGGAUCCUAAGGGGAGCAGCAGGGGGGGAACUUCCGCAAUGGGCGGAAGGCUGGAGGAGGAAAGGCGGGGGGGGGGUGGAGGCCUUCGGGUUGGAAAGCUCUGUUAAUCGGGAAGAAAGGGCUUCUUGCGAAUAGUGAGAAGGAUUGACGGUACCGGAAUAGAAAGCCACGGCUAACUACGUG
This 510-nucleotide ribosomal RNA is filed under the name uncultured bacterium. Its description in RNAcentral is "partial 16S ribosomal RNA". It matches the Rfam family "Bacterial small subunit ribosomal RNA", at positions 28 to 507 of the family's 1533-position model. The record is from RNAcentral.